RNAcentral lists this long non-coding RNA (1490 nucleotides) under Brassica rapa (field mustard). RNAcentral's name for it is "long non-coding RNA (BRAP_LNC001466)". The record is from RNAcentral. Lineage: Eukaryota; Viridiplantae; Streptophyta; Magnoliopsida; Brassicales; Brassicaceae.
GAAAAGAAUCGGUUGACAAAAAAAAAAACUAAGAAAAGAAUCAUUCAGUUUAUCAUUGUUCUCUUGUUUAUUUCCAUGUUUCACAUAUAUGAAAGAAGUCUAUUUGAAUUUACAUCCUCCAAACUAUCAAGCCAACUAUGGUUCCUUGCAGAUACAAGAAAACAUCAUAUGUAUUGCAGGUUAAUUAUUUUAAUAUGCAAACUUUUUUUUGGUUAAUAUAUUAAUAUUUAUUACCCUAUUUUGGUGUUGACUUAAUUUAUAAAGAAAAUCUAGUAACAGAAAAACAACAUAGAAAACGAAACACACAACAACACCAAAGAAACAAACGGGAACACAACAACAAUUAAGAUGUAAACUUUCUUGGAUACUUAAACAAUUUUUUAGAACAUAACAAAGUGAAGAUCAUAGUACUAUUUUGAUUGCAUGAUCGAUCAAACGGCCGUGACUGCUAUUUUCAUAGCGGCUUCACAGUGGCCCGGAAAGUUGCAGAUGAAGAAGUUUUGUCCUUUAGACAAAGUUAUACGAUCUUUCCCUGAAGUGUAUGUUCUCGCACGUGCCGGCGUUUUGCAAUUGUUGUACCCUCCACUAUCUACCGCCACUACGUUGUGGAUUCUCGGAUUAUAGUUAAACACUGCAACAAAAUUUUGAAAUAGUGAGUUUAUUAUUUAAAUUUAUUGCUUACUCUAUGGCUCUUCCAUAUAUCGGAACUUUAGUGUCCAAAAGCUAUUAGGAUUUUUUAUUACAAAAUUAAUUACCAUUAAAACUUCAAUAAAGAAAAAAAAAAUUACGCCAAAACACGAUUUCGUUUGUGCGUGGGGAUAGUAUUGACCUAAUUCCUAAGAAUUUACUUGUGUAAAUGGGUUUGAUAUGUGAAUUUAAAUAUAUAAAGAUUACGUACAACUCUUAACUGUACGUUAAGCACUGAUAAUAAUAAACAGAUUAACUUUUAACUAAUGGUAUAUAUGUAAAUCUGCAAGUUGAUUGAAAUAUUUCUUCAGGUGAAAACAUUUUCAACUCAUCCACUCAAGGUUAAACCAAAAUCCUAGUUACUUUUGUAAAACAUUUCCAUUGCAUCCAACAUUUCCAGUAGUUAAUAGCUACUGGGUUAAACUUGAAAAGGUAUGCACGACAUAGUCAAGCAAACUAUGAUAUAUAAAUAAACGGAAAAAAUUGGUGAAAAUUAUUUGUCGCAUAUCUUGCACAAAAACACACUUACACAUAUCUAGAUCUGGCAGCAGUGGUGGAUAUAAAGAUUAUAAAAACUUUAGGUGCUUGUGACCUAUAUUUGUAACAAUAUGAUAGAAUCUUGUGGAAGUUUAAGUAUAAGAUGUGAAGUAUGUAUACCUAAAACGUCACCAGCUUUAAAAUGUUUGCCUGAAGGCCAACCCACAGCGUUGAAGGCCCAGCCGUUGGAUUCGCCGACUGUGUAAGUCGCAGCUUGAACGUAGUCAGCUUGAAGAACCAACACUGAGACCAACAUCAAAGCGACU